Molecule: transfer RNA, 74 nt
Filed under: Candidatus Berkelbacteria bacterium
Lineage: Bacteria; Candidatus Berkelbacteria
Description: tRNA-Gln
Rfam family: tRNA
About the family: Transfer RNA (tRNA) molecules are approximately 80 nucleotides in length. Their secondary structure includes four short double-helical elements and three loops (D, anti-codon, and T loops).
Source: RNAcentral
UCCGGGAUCGUCUAAUGGCAGGACACCUGACUCUGGAUCAGGCAAUCUAGGUUCGCAUCCUAGUCCCGGAACCA